GUAUGCCUUCUUGGCCUCCUUGGCCUCUCCUUUGCAGCUCCUCAUGGCGAUGAGCUUGCCCGAGAGAAACGCUCGUCCAGUGGAGAGAACAACGGGGGCUUUGGCUUUAAUCCAUAUCCGUAC
Long non-coding RNA from Alosa sapidissima (American shad), 123 nucleotides. RefSeq lists it as uncharacterized. The record is from RefSeq and is a predicted model, not a curated record. NCBI's taxonomy places the organism in Eukaryota, Metazoa, Chordata, Actinopteri, Clupeiformes, Clupeidae. The transcript has 3 exons.